RNAcentral lists this ribosomal RNA (501 nucleotides) under uncultured bacterium. RNAcentral's name for it is "partial 16S ribosomal RNA". It matches the Rfam family "Bacterial small subunit ribosomal RNA", at positions 29 to 523 of the family's 1533-position model. The record is from RNAcentral.
AUUGAACGCUGGCGGCAUGCCUUACACAUGCAAGUCGAACGGCAGCACGGGUCCUUGCACCUGGUGGCGAGUGGCGAACGGGUGAGUAAUACAUCGGAACGUACCUUAUCGUGGGGGAUAACGCAGCGAAAGCUGUGCUAAUACCGCAUACGCCCUGAGGGGGAAAGCGGGGGAUCGCAAGACCUCGCGCGAUUAGAGCGGCCGAUGCCUGAUUAGCUUGUUGGUGGGGUAAAAGCCCACCGAGGCGACGAUCAGUAGCUGGUCUGAGAGGAAGCUGAGCCACACUGGGACAGAGACACGGCCCAGACUCCUACGGGAGGCAGGAGUGGGGAAUUUUGGACAAGGGGGGCAACCCUGAUCCAGCAAUGCCGCGUGAGUGAAGAAGGCCUUCGGGUUGUAAAGCUCUUUUGUCAGGGAAGAAACACCGGCUCUAACACAGUCCGGGAAUGACGGUACCUGAAGAAUAAGCACCGGCUAACUACGUGCCAGCCGCCGCAGUAA